Molecule: ribosomal RNA, 748 nt
Filed under: uncultured bacterium
Lineage: Bacteria
Description: bacterial SSU rRNA
Rfam family: Bacterial small subunit ribosomal RNA
Source: RNAcentral
AGAGUUUGAUCAUGGCUCAGAUUGAACGCUGGCGGCAUGGCUAAAACAUGCAAGUCGAACGAAACCCCGCAAGGGGAAAAGUGGCGGAAGGGUGAGUAAAAGUAUCGAAUGUGCCCCGAGGUGGGGGAUAGGCAUGGGAAACUGUGCGUAAUACCUCAUGAUCUCGAGAGAGCAAAGGCGCAAGCCGCCUUGGGAGCAGCGAUAUACCUAUCAGGUAGUUGGCGGGGUAAAGGCCCACCAAGCCGAAGACGGGUAGCCGGUAUGAGAGUACGGCCGGCCACAUCGGGACUGAGACACUGCCCGGACUCCUACGGGAGGCUGCAGUAACGAAUAUUCCGCAAUGCACGAAAGUGUGACGGAGCAAUGCCGCGUGCAGGAUGAAGCAACUUCGUUGUGUAAACUGCUGUCAGAAGCUAGAAACCAUGAUCAGCUUCAGAGGAAGGACCGGCUAAUCUCGUGCCAGCAGCCGCGGUAAUACGAGAGGUCCAAGCGUUAGUCGGAAUCACUGGGCUUAAAGGGUGCGUAGGCGGGUCUGUAAGUGUCUUGUGAAAUCCCCGGGCUCAACCCGGGAAUUGCAGGGCAUACUGCGGAUCUUGAGGAAUCUAGAGGCCGGCAGAACGAUAGGUGGAGCGGUGGAAUGCGUAGAUAUCUAUCGGAAUGCCAAAGGUGAAGACAGCCGGCUGGGGAUUUCCUGACGCUGAGGCACGAAAGCGUGGGGAUCAAACAGGAUUAGAUACCCUAGUAGUCC